UGGGGUGUGGCUCAGCAGUAGAGUGCUUGCCUCCCACAUGGGAGGCACUGGGUUCUAUCCUCAGCACCACAU
RNAcentral lists this transfer RNA (72 nucleotides) under Marmota monax (woodchuck). It matches the Rfam family "tRNA". From Rfam's summary of the family: Transfer RNA (tRNA) molecules are approximately 80 nucleotides in length. Their secondary structure includes four short double-helical elements and three loops (D, anti-codon, and T loops). The record is from Rfam by way of RNAcentral. Lineage: Eukaryota; Metazoa; Chordata; Mammalia; Rodentia; Sciuridae.